GACGAACGCUGGCGGCGUGCUUAACACAUGCAAGUCGAGCGGUAAGGCCCUUCGGGGUACACGAGCGGCGAACGGGUGAGUAACACGUGGGUGACCUGCCCUUAGCUCUGGGAUAAGCCUGGGAAACUGGGUCUAAUACCGGAUAUGACCUCAUGACGCAUGUUGUGGGGUGGAAAGCCUUGUGCGGCUAGGGAUGGGCCCGCGGCCUAUCAGCUUGUUGGUGGGGUGAUGGCCACCAAGGCGACGACGGGUAGCCGGCCUGAGAGGGCGACCGGCCACACUGGGACUGAGACACGGCCCAGACUCCUACGGGAGGCAGCAGUGGGGAAUCUUGCGCAAUGGGCGAAAGCCUGACGCAGCGACGCCGCGUGA
This 372-nucleotide ribosomal RNA is filed under the name uncultured bacterium. RNAcentral describes it as "bacterial SSU rRNA". It matches the Rfam family "Bacterial small subunit ribosomal RNA", at positions 28 to 404 of the family's 1533-position model. The record is from RNAcentral.